RNAcentral lists this non-coding RNA (30 nucleotides) under Homo sapiens (human). Lineage: Eukaryota; Metazoa; Chordata; Mammalia; Primates; Hominidae. The record is from RNAcentral.
GAGCACGGAAGCUGAAAGCAUACGAAAAAA